Galleria mellonella (greater wax moth) is the source of this 5497-nucleotide RNA transcript. It is a transcript of the gene named dystrobrevin beta, with no coding region annotated. The transcript has 21 exons. NCBI's taxonomy places the organism in Eukaryota, Metazoa, Arthropoda, Insecta, Lepidoptera, Pyralidae. The record is from RefSeq and is a predicted model, not a curated record.
UGGCAGACUGUCAUGUUGAUCUCUAAUUUUGUGGUUUUUUCACUUAAACAGUGAAUUUCUUAAUUUAUUUAUAAUUAAAAACAAAAAAAACGUAAAUAUUUAUUUCGUGCCUCACCGGCGUUUAUAAAUUUGAAUCAGUGUGUUUUUUAAGGGUAGCCGGCAAAAUAAAAAUAAUGAGCGCUAUAAAAUCUUGAAUCGAUUUGUAAACUACAAAAUUACGUGAAGUAUUAAUUUGAAUAAAUUAACAUUAUGUCAACAAACUUAUGAGCUGACCGUUAAUAAAAGAAAUCACCAUGUCUCUCGAGCGUGACAACAUGAGUGUUGGACCUAGUAUGAGUGUGGGGGGAUCCUCAACUGAUCCCAGGUCACAACUAUUGCAAGAGAUGAGGGAGCACAACUUUGAUAUGAUUAGAUUUGCAUCAUAUAGAACUGCAUGCAAGCUUCGCUAUGUUCAGAAGAAAUGUAACUUACAUGUGAUAGACAUAUGGAAUGUGAUAGAGGCAUUUCGUGAGAAUGCCCUCAAUACGCUAGAACCAAAUGCAUGUGUCAAUGUGACACGUUUAGAAACACUAGUGUCGUCUUUGUACCAUAAUUUAAACAAGCGUUUACCACCAGCGCACCAGGUAUCUGUGGAAGCAUGCUCAGCAUUGUUGUUGAAUUGGUUGUUAUCUGCUUACAGUACUGGAGAAAAUGUGGGAAAGAUCCGGGUGUUUUCAAUCAAAGUGGCCCUCGCGACAAUGUGUGCGGGGAAAUUAAUGGACAAGCUCAGAUAUAUAUUUUCUCAACUAUCGGAUGGCAACGGGCACCUACUGAUGAAAAGACUAUCCGACUACCUACGUGAAGUGUUAGCACUUCCAGCAGCUGUGUACGAGUCACCUUCCUUCAGCUACAACGACUCGCUUGCGCUGUCCAUAUUUAAUCAGCAAAACGGUAAAAUAACGGUGAACGACUUCCUGGACACACUAAUGUCGGACCCUGGCCCUCCUUGCCUCGUGUGGUUGCCGCUACUACAUAGACUUGCGAGCGUCGAAAACGUGGUGCACCCGCUAGCUUGCAGCGCGUGCCGCCGCGGCUCGCUGACGGGCUUCCGCUACCGCUGCACGCGCUGCGCCAACUACACGCUGUGCCAGGACUGCUUCUGGCGCGGCCGCGUCUGCCCGCCGCACACCAACGACCACGAGGUCAAGGAGUACGCCGCAUACAAAUCUCCGUCGAAGCAGAUCGGCGCGACGCUCCGCAAGUCAUUCCGCUGCGUGCCGGAACGGGCGAGACCACUGCCGCGUUAUCCCGACCGCCCCGAAAGAACCCUCGACCUCAGUCACAUAGUGCCGCCGUCGCCGGUGCCGGCGCACAACGGGUUCCCGGAGUACACGGGCGUGGCGGCAGGGGGCGUGGCGGGCUACCCGCACACCGGCUCGCUGGACUCGCGCUGGGCGCGGGCUCGCGGCGCCGAGCUCAGGGGCGCCGACGACGAGCACCGCCUCAUCGCACGAUACGCCGCGCGGCUCGCGCACGAGAACCGCACUAUGCCAAGAGCUGGAAGAUCUGCUUCGUUAACGCCGGAACUGGGACGGUCAUCAUCGGAAGGCUCUGAGGUGGACGCAGCGCGGCAGCAGCGAGAACUAAUCUCGCAACUAGAGGCUAAAAAUAGGGAAAUUAUGCGAGAGAUCGCCAGACUCCGACGACAACAGGAAGCGGAAGCGAGUGCGGGCGCGGGUGUCACAAGCGGUACUAGCGCGCCGCCGCUUGUGUCCGAGCUGCGGGCGUUACGGCAACGCAAGGACGAGCUGGAAGGUCACCUGUCCUCCCUGCAGGAGUCUAGGAAGCACCUCAUGCAGCAGCUGGAGGGGCUUAUGAGGAUGCUAAAGACUCAGCAGUCGUCACCGCGAUCCACUCCGAACUCGUCGCCUCGUUCCACCAAAAGUCCACCGUUGCCCGGCGCUCAACCACAGCCUUCCGCUCCAGAAAGAGAACCGACCAGUCGCGGUACAGUGCGGAGUGCGCCACAGACGCCCUCUUUGGGAGAACGCGAGCGCAUCGACAUGACUCACAGUCUAGGAGGAAUGGAAAGUAUGGGUGGGGAUGGCAGGCCUUUUCAUCAAAACCAACGACCCACGACAAUGGGCAUAGACAACCGCAGUCUCCGGAGUGAUCUCCUGUACGCGGCGGAUUCCGUUACAAACGCUAUGUCCACACUCGUCAGAGAACUCAAUUCUGAAGGAUCUGACACUGAAGACACGGUAAAAGGCGAGCCCAGGAAACAGAGAGAUUUCGACGAAGACGACGACAGCGAUGAACCGAUGCCGCGACCUCAGCCGCCGCAACAUUAUCUACACGACAACAAUGUUCAGAAUAUGGCAUCUAGUGUUAAGACGUAGUCUUAAAUAUGCAAACACAUAUAGCUUAAGGACACCCCGCCGCCCCUGCCUGCCCGCACCGGCCUCUGCUACCCCCGCACCUAGCUCCAAACAAACAUCACACCACUUUCUGCAUUAUCACGCGAGAGUAUCAAGACAUAAUGCAAUUUACCAUUUUAAGCAUAAUACGGGAGCGGCGAGAUUGGUCUAUAGAUCUUUGCUACGUACACUUAUUGUUGUAUAUAAAUACUUAACUCUCUUUUAGUUCGCUUACUGUGUCUAGUCCCAAGCUAUUUGGUUUUGUGUGACCACGGAUUUGUAUAAAGUAUUUAAAGCACUGAAUGCAGAUCGUAUAUUUAUCGAUAAUGUCUCAUCCCUAUUUUGUAUUAUUAGCAAAAUACGAUUACGUCACCACUAUUUGUUUUCUAAAUGGAAUGAAAGAGAUAGACGUAUAUAUUUCUAAAGAAUGUUUAAUUGAAAUAUCGAUGACUUAGGUGAGAUCAUAAUGGUGACGUAAUUUAAUUAUUUCAGACUUUUAUCUAAUUAUAUACUUGAGCAUUUGCAACGAGAAGGUAAAUUUGAAAGAUAUGAUUACUAUUUUAUUGGUUUUAGCAUUAGAUAUAUUUUAAAUCAUUUUUUUGUAUAUAUCGACCUUCUAUUUAAAAACAAAUAUUCCAAAAAUAUGUUUGUGCAGUAAUUUAUAAUAAAUUCUAACGUAAAAAUAUGCUGUCUCGUCAUUUUUUUGUAAUAUUUCGAAUUUGCUAAUUACUACACUUUUCUAAAAUCUUUUUAAUUUUCAAAAUAUCAAAUAGUUUUGGCGCCAAAAUUUUUAUAUAUUGAUAAAAAACUAUAUAAUCCUGUAUAGAUGUGUACAACACGUUGCAAGUGCUCAGUGUGCAUUAACGACGUCUAUUGUUCAUACAUAUUAUUCCUUUUCUGUCUUCCAUUCGUCAAUUCCUUCCAUUGUGUACAAAAAUGUCAAUUGAUACUUCCCUUAUCAUUUUAACUGCAUAUAUAUAUCUGCAAUCAAUAUGAUGCCGAUUUUAAAUUACCACAAAACGACUAUGGAACACGACUAGCGGAUUUUCUGUAUCCAAUCAUCCGUUACGCAGUCAUAGCAAAUUAUUAAUUUAUUUACAAUCGUGACAGCAAAAUGAUUAUGGAACAUAGCUAGUAGCAUAGCAAUAUGCCGUUACUGAUUUUACGCUUGGUAAAAAUGUUGUACGUACAUAGUUAUUAACUAUUGUUACCGCAAUGUGAUUACAUAGCGCGACUAGCAUCACAUUAGCGAUUUUCCGUCGCGGAUCUUCCGUGUUGUCAAGGAUCUUGUAUAAACACACUUACACAGCGAUUUAUUUAUUAAUAUUGUUACUGCAAUAUGAUUACAGAACACGACUAGCAUCACAUUAGCGAUUUUCUGUCGCGGAUCUUCCGUGUUGUCAAGAAUCUUGCAUGAACACACUUACACAGUCAUUUAUUUAUUAAUAUUGUUACCGCAAUGUGAUUACAGAACAUGACUACCAUCACAUUAGCGAUUUUUCGUCGCGGAUCUUCCGUGUCGUCAAGAAUCUUGUAUGUACACACUUACACAAUCAACACAAGUCAUUUAUUUAUUAAUAUUGUUACCGCAAAAUUAUCAUAGAAUACGGAUAGCAUUACAUUAGCGAUAUUCCGUCGCUGAUCUUCCGCGUUGUCAAGAAUCUUGUAGCCACUCAACACGAGUCAUCUAUUUUUUUAUCACUUUACUCCACCAAUAUUGGUUGGCACUUCUGUACCAUCUUUACGGGAAAUCAUUAUGUGUACCAUCGCACACUACGAGUUAGUAAAAUAUGUACGAAUUAUUAUUAAUAAAACAAAAAUCUUUGUAUUGUAAAAAUUUACAUUUAUAAUUAACCACUGAGAUUACUUACAAACGAAUUAUUGCAAUCAAAAUUCGGUAAAUGAAUUUAUUUUUUAAUAAUUUUUAAAUAUUUUUUUAUGGCAAAAUUAUGAUAUUAUAUUAUAGUUCUUAUUUUGAUAGUACUUAUUUAUUUUGUACGAAUAAUGGAUUGAAAGUGGAGUUAUUCUGACGUGACAUGUCAUGUUUGACUAGGUACCUAUACACGCCAUGUUUGAAAUAUAAAACUUGGAUCUAAAAUCUAGUCUCUGGAAUAGACAACUGUCCUUAAAUACUUGAUCCAAUAAUUGGUAAUCUAUUUUGAUGGACAAAUAUACGCACAAGGUCUAUCUAGUCUGUUCAGGUUUUAAGGAUUAUAAAAGGGUUAGGUAAUUUUAUUACAUAAAUGGGAUUUAAUGAAAUUUUAUUUAACAAAUUUUUGAAUCGAUCGUAUAUUAACAUUUGCAUUUCUAUUAAUAAUUGUAUAUUUCUCAGGCUAAAAAAAUUAAUAAACUUAUACAUACGGCGUGAAGAUAAUAAAAUCACAAAUAAACUACUACUUACACAUGAAAUCAUAAAAAUAGUUAUAAAUAAUAAUAUAAUAAUAAUUUAUUUGUUCAAUUAACUACAGCACACAAAUAAUAACAGACAGACAUACAAAAAAAAAAGAGAUAAAAGAUAAAGUAUGUGUACAAAAAUAUAAUAUUUCUUAAUAAAAUAAAUAUUGCCGCUAAAGAGGACUCAUAUUAAUGACUAUACUCCUAUGGUUUUAAAAUAGCUUUGAAUCUUAUUAAAUAAAAGAGUUUUUGCAAAUUCCUAGUACAGUGUUCACUGUACACAAAAUCACACGAUAUAAUUUAAUAAAACAACUAAAAUGUUGCAUUCAAAAAGGUUUCGAACUAACGAUUGUUCUUCGGUAUUUUUAAAAUGGCUUUCAAUCUUAUAUAAUAACUAUAUUUUUUUAGUAUAUCAUAAUAGUUCCAUCGUUUUACUUAUAAUUCUACAAAUAAAUAUCAAGAAUCAUUUUAAAUGUUUGUAAGUGGCCAGUAUCUAAUUAAUAUACCAAAACUGUACCCAUAUGUAAUUUUUUUAUUGCAUAUUUAGUAAACAUAUCUUUAUUUUGUCAAUAUUUGGUCAUUUAAAAAUAGACAUUCUUUUUACAUUUUCAUAGACAAAGUACAUAAUCAAUUGUAUAAAUCUUUUUAAACGUAAACAAAAUAUUGAUCGUAUGAACUGAUGAUUAAAAACAAAAAUAAAUUGACAU